Molecule: transfer RNA, 85 nt
Organism: Felis catus (domestic cat)
Lineage: Eukaryota; Metazoa; Chordata; Mammalia; Carnivora; Felidae
Rfam family: tRNA
About the family: Transfer RNA (tRNA) molecules are approximately 80 nucleotides in length. Their secondary structure includes four short double-helical elements and three loops (D, anti-codon, and T loops). Further hydrogen bonds mediate the characteristic L-shaped molecular structure. tRNAs have two regions of fundamental functional importance: the anti-codon, which is responsible for specific mRNA codon recognition, and the 3' end, to which the tRNAs corresponding amino acid is attached (by aminoacyl-tRNA synthetases). tRNAs cope with the degeneracy of the genetic code in two manners: having more than one tRNA (with a specific anti-codon) for a particular amino acid; and 'wobble' base-pairing, i.e. permitting non-standard base-pairing at the 3rd anti-codon position.
Source: Rfam
GCCUGGGUGGCUCAGUCGGUAAAGUGUCUGACUUCAGCUCAGGUCAUGAUCUCACAGUCUGUGGGUUUGAGCCCCUCCUCAGGCU